GAUAUCAUUACAAAGUAUAGCCACAUUUUGCGUUAUAAGGAGCAGUAAAUACGUUACUAGUACUAAAAUGCUAUUUUUGUACAUCACGUGAACAAAACUAUGAGAUAACGUUUGAUUACACGCUCAUGCGGAAGUUUUGAUUCUACUGGAAUUACUAGCAGAGCUGAUACACACUGAACCGGCUGCCAAUGUUUUUUAUUGCAACCUUCCGGCAGCUAAACUUGGUAGCAGCGCAGCAGAGCGGUUGGUUUUCAGCAGUUAUCGACCGAACGAGGAGCAAGAGGAUAAUUACGUAUUGUAUAGCUGUUUAGAUUCGUUUACUUUGCUUUUGGUUGCAUAUCCAUAAGUAGGCACUUCGCUAUGCCUAAUAAUUCAGAUGACAAACGUAAAAAACAAUAAUUUCUUUAUAUAGUUGUUGUUCUUAAUAUAGUUAUGGUUAUUAAUCAAUUAUUAUAAAUAAAUAAAACCUUUAAAUAAAUUUGUAUAAAUAUG
This is a long non-coding RNA of Bombyx mori (domestic silkworm), 492 nucleotides long. RefSeq lists it as uncharacterized. Lineage: Eukaryota; Metazoa; Arthropoda; Insecta; Lepidoptera; Bombycidae. The record is from RefSeq and is a predicted model, not a curated record. The transcript has 2 exons.